UCACUGCCAUCCCCAUCCCUCAUUUUGACUAUUGGAUUUUCCUCAGAGGGGAGGAAGGUGGGAAAGGAUGCACACAUUCCUAGCAAUUAUGUGCAAGUUCACAAUCUUACCACCAACAUUGAUAAUCAAAGAAAAAAGGGUAAAAAUGUGGAUUGAUAACAUGAGUCAUGAACCCUUGAACUUCGACAACUUUCACUACCAUAAUACCACU
RNAcentral lists this long non-coding RNA (211 nucleotides) under Elaeis guineensis (African oil palm). RNAcentral's name for it is "long non-coding RNA (EGUI_LNC061059)". Lineage: Eukaryota; Viridiplantae; Streptophyta; Magnoliopsida; Arecales; Arecaceae. The record is from RNAcentral.